AAUUGGAGAGUUUGAUCCUGGCUCAGAGCGAACGCUAGCGGCGCGCUUAACACAUGCAAGUCGCACGAGAAAGAGGGGCAACCCUUUAGUAAAGUGGCGCACGGGUGAGUAACACGUGGGUAAUCUCCCCCCGAGACUGGAAUAACCCGCCGAAAGGUGGGCUAAUACCGGAUAAGACCACGGGACGCAAGUCCUGGGGUCAAAGGCGGGUCAGCAAUGGCCUGUCACUCAGGGAUGAGCCCGCGUCCCAUCAGCUAGUUGGUGAGGUAACGGCUCACCAAGGCUAAGACGGGUAGCUGGUCUUAGAGGACGAUCAGCCACACUGGCACUGGAACACGGGCCAGACUCCUACGGGAGGCAGCAGUGGGGAAUUUUGCGCAAUGGGCGAAAGCCUGACGCAG
Molecule: ribosomal RNA, 401 nt
Filed under: Deltaproteobacteria bacterium GWA2_55_82
Lineage: Bacteria; Deltaproteobacteria
Description: bacterial SSU rRNA
Rfam family: Bacterial small subunit ribosomal RNA
Source: RNAcentral